Molecule: long non-coding RNA, 533 nt
Filed under: Cyanistes caeruleus (blue tit)
Lineage: Eukaryota; Metazoa; Chordata; Aves; Passeriformes; Paridae
Description: lncRNA (ENSCCEG00000012360.1)
Source: RNAcentral
AUGCUAUGGGUCUCCCUCUGGCUUAUGAAAUACUCGAAUCAGAGCUAUAGGAAAAGUUAAUGGGAAAUUACCGUUUUUUCCCAAGGAAAUUCAGGACUGGAGCAAAGGAGAAAACAUCUGUUGAAGAGAGUUCUCCAUUCUGCAGAGAAACCAUUUAACUUCAUUGGUGGGACUCCAGAGGUUUAGUUUGCCAGUUAAAUUUGAUGACACUAGAAGACUACUAUAACUUGGAGACCAGGAAGCAGUACAAUCAGUCUUUUCUUACUGCAGUAAGAGGUGGUUUCGGAGAGACUCUCUACGUGGUGUUCAAGUGCACAAAACAUGUGGGAGAAAAUUAUCUUCCUGCCUGGAAGGUGGGCGAGAGAAAUAUCAGAAGUGGCAUCAUCCCUACAACCAAUUUUGUCUCACAUCCCAACUGCAUGUUUCAAAGAGUAAGAGGAUCAACUUUGCACAGGCUCUGUGAAACCUCUUCUUCCAGACCAUGCUUCUGUCCACAUCUCCUUCCAGGCAAAUAUGGAAAUUUCUAUUUGUGA